Long non-coding RNA from Pteronotus mesoamericanus, 3033 nucleotides. RefSeq lists it as uncharacterized. The transcript has 5 exons. NCBI's taxonomy places the organism in Eukaryota, Metazoa, Chordata, Mammalia, Chiroptera, Mormoopidae. The record is from RefSeq and is a predicted model, not a curated record.
CGGAGGCGUCUGGGUGUGCGGAGCGCGCGCGCGCGCGGCUCGGAGGCGCACCUGUGAGGUGUCCCUAGAGGAGAGGGAGGGUGGGUGCGCGGAGCCCGCGGCCUGGGGCGCUUCAACCCCUCACUUGGAGGCGCCCGGCGUCCCCGCGGAGCCCGACGAGCAUCCUGCGCAGGUGAUGAGGGGCCCCUGGCGCCCCCGGCGCGGAACGCAGCCGCCGCUGGACGCCUCCAUUGUUUGACCACCGCCCGGGCCGAUUCUUAGCCAGGAUCCGAAGGCUUCUGUAGCCCUCCAGCCACUGUGGGCCCUGCCUCUGCCUCUUCUGCUGCGAUGUCUUGCGGGCCUUGACUCCUGACACUGUGACCUGCAAACCCAAGGACACCGCUCUCUGGAAGACAAGAGCUGCUUUCUCAAGACCAGAAAAGGAAACAGGGGUGCUGCCUCUGCAGGGCACCCUCAGAAGGGAGGAGCCUCACACCUGGGCCACUGAGCGUGUUUCCAGGGCCAGCUCCUGUCUGACGUGUAGGAGGCAGAAUGUCACCCUGACUCUUCAAGGGCAGCCUUCAGGGGAUCAAGACCCACACGCAAGCAUCUCACCGUCUGCUGCAAGGGACACAGUGUGGUCCUUUCUCUGCAAGCGAGGAGAACGAGGCCGCUCCACAGAGGAAGGUUCCGGGGGCUUAAAAACGUGAAGGCUCGCUCCUCAGGAGCCCCUGGGGAUGCUGACAUCUCAGGGCCUAAAAGAAAGCUCUGUGUUAAGGAGCUCCAGGGUUCAUGUGGGAGUGAAUGUCACUUUAUAAUCAAUAGCAGUACUGAGUGAGGAGCACUAUGCAGGAAGGCACCUUCCAUAGAAAGACAGGCAGGGAAAAGCUUAGGCCAGCCACGAACCUCCCGGAGGGAGCAAGCCUGAGAUAGGUUGCCAGCAUGGCCACCUGAGAGACUGGAGGCCUCAGCCACCCCAUACCUGUAGUAGUCGUAAGGAAUUUCUCCUCUAAGUCACGAUACCAAAUAGGAAAAAUGAUCUACAAGUGCCCCAUGUGUAGGGAAUUUUUCUCUGAGAGAGCUGACCUUUUUAUGCAUCAGAAAGUUCACACAGCUGAGAAGCCCCAUAAGUGUGACAAGUGUGACAAGGGUUUCUUUCAUAUAUCAGAACUUCACAUCCAUUGGCGAGACCACACGGGAGAGAAGGUCUACAAAUGUGAUGAUUGCGGUAAGGAUUUUAGUACCACAACAAAACUUAACAGACAUAAGAAAAUCCACACAGUAGAAAAGCCCUAUAAGUGUUAUGAGUGUGGCAAAGCCUUCAAUUGGAGCUCACAUCUUCAAAUUCACAUGAGAGUUCAUACAGGUGAGAAACCCUAUGUCUGUAGCGAGUGUGGGAGGGGCUUUAGUAAUAGUUCAAACCUUUGCAUGCAUCAGAGAGUCCACACCGGAGAGAAGCCCUUCAAAUGUGAAGAGUGUGGGAAGGCCUUCAGGCACACUUCCAGCCUCUGCAUGCAUCAGAGAGUCCACACCGGAGAGAAACCCUAUAAAUGUUAUGAGUGUGGGAAGGCCUUCAGCCAGAGCUCCAGCCUCUGCAUCCACCAGAGAGUGCACACUGGGGAGAAGCCCUAUAGAUGUUGUGGGUGCGGGAAGGCCUUCAGCCAGAGCUCCAGCCUCUGCAUCCACCAGAGAGUGCACACUGGGGAGAAGCCUUUUAAAUGCGAUGAGUGUGGGAAGGCCUUCAGUCAGAGCACCAGCCUCUGCAUCCACCAGAGAGUGCACACAAAGGAGAGAAACCAUCUCAAAAUAUCAGUUAUAUAAAGCGUUUUGCUAAGAGUUAAAAAUCUUAAAACCCAUAAGUGCCACUAGGAAGGAAACCCUGUAAAUACCUGCAUUGACCCGAGAAAUUUUUACAGCAGGCCCUAGCAGAACAUUCUUUUCAAUGAGGUGUAUGUGAGGCUGACUUAGAUUCAUGCCAAGUGUGUCCCACCACCGGGCUUGAAUCUGGGGUCCCUCUGGGUGUCUGCCUGAGAUGGGCUGUGAGGUCCCAGCACAGCACCCGCAGCAGCAUGGGCGUGCGUCUCCCAGGGUUCCAGCGUGAUGCCUCUGCCCUUGACUACUACACAGGGAACCGUGGUCAUGGCGCAGCCUGCUGUGUCACCCUCACCCGGCAGGCCCCCCGGGACUCCCCGUCGGGGGCUCACGACCCCCUUCUCUUGAUUCAGGCAUACCCAUCACUGCAUUUGAGAUGGAGAGCUCCCACCGAGACAGCGUUCUGGCACUUCUGAGGCUCCACUUGACUCAGCCGCUGUGUAGGUCCCAUUAUUUCUACACGCACUUGCCUGUAUGUCCUCAAAAUACCCAUAAAUGUCCGCCCCUUCCUAGAUGGCAUCAAGUUUCAUUUUAGAUUUUAGGUUACUCAUAAUUUCCAUUCAUGUGGCCUAUUUGAGGAAUUGGUGGCAGACAUACAUGCCCUUGAACUUUUUUUUUUUUUUUAAUUUUGUGGAUUCUGCUAAUCACUGCAUCUCUGUUAGACUUACUUUUCUAGUGGCUACAUCACAUUUUUUAACUUGAAUUUUUUUUUGAAGUAGCUGAAUGUAAAUAGGGAGGAAGAAGCAAGCAAGGUCAGAGCUUUUCUCCAUCCAGAAGCGCCCACCCUGGCCCCUUGUGUAGCGCAGAGCCCCUGCCAGCCAGGAGGAGUGGGUGGCAGGAGGAGGCACUGCCACGGUUUAGUCCCGUUUCUGCCAUUUUGGGCAGUGACGAGUAGGAGUGCUCGGUAACCCCGUCACUGAGGAUUAUGUGCCGGUUCCUUUGUCAGCAUGCUGGUUAUCCUUUUCUUCAUUCAUUCCCUCAACAAGUAUUUAUUGGACACCUCCUAUGUGCCAGGCACCGUGCUGGGUGCUGGGAACACCACUGAGUAAGACAGUCGAGGGCCCCUGCUCAUGGAGUUUACUUCUGGUGGAGGAGACAGGCGAUACGCAAGUAAACAAAUAAAUAAUGUAGUUUGAGAUAGUGAUUAAGUGCUAUGAAGAAGAUAAACUAGGGCGAUGAUUU